This 203-nucleotide long non-coding RNA is filed under the name Elaeis guineensis (African oil palm). RNAcentral's name for it is "long non-coding RNA (EGUI_LNC029716)". The record is from RNAcentral. Lineage: Eukaryota; Viridiplantae; Streptophyta; Magnoliopsida; Arecales; Arecaceae.
GCUCCUCAAAUGUUCCUCUAGCCUUUAAUAAUCUUAGAGAUUGUUGGAAAAAGAGUUUUGAUUGUUGGAAGUCUUGAAAUAAUCGUUAGAUCUAAAAAUCAGCCAUUAAACAAGUACAGAAGACUAGCCAUUAUUACUGUCCUCAUGCUUGGAGUCGACUAGAUCUACAGACGAGUCGGUUCGAUCUGCAGGCAAGUCGGCUC